CGCCUACGGGGGGCAGCAGUCGGGAAUAUUGCGCAAUGGAGGAAACUCUGACGCAGUGACGCCGCGUAUAGGACGAAGGUCUUCGGAUUGUAAACUAUUGUCGUUAGGGAAGAAAGUGCGUGAGAGUAACUGUUCACGUUUCGACGGUAUCUAACCAGAAAGCCACGGCUAACUACGUGCCAGCAGCCGCGGUAAUACGUAGGUGGCAAGCGUUAUCCGGAUUUAUUGGGCGUAAAGGGAACGCAGGCGGUCUUUUAAGUCUGAU
This 265-nucleotide ribosomal RNA is filed under the name uncultured bacterium. RNAcentral's name for it is "partial 16S ribosomal RNA". It matches the Rfam family "Bacterial small subunit ribosomal RNA", at positions 336 to 593 of the family's 1533-position model. The record is from RNAcentral.